RNAcentral lists this ribosomal RNA (575 nucleotides) under Wolbachia pipientis. RNAcentral describes it as "bacterial LSU rRNA". It matches the Rfam family "Bacterial large subunit ribosomal RNA", at positions 2342 to 2925 of the family's 2925-position model. Lineage: Bacteria; Pseudomonadati; Pseudomonadota; Alphaproteobacteria; Rickettsiales; Anaplasmataceae. The record is from RNAcentral.
CUUGAUAGUAUAAUGGCAUAAGCUUACCUGACUGCGAGGUUGACAAACCAAGCAGAGACGAAAGUCGGUCAUAGUGAUCCGGUAAUUCUGUAUGGAAGGGUUAUCGCUCAACGGAUAAAAGGUACGCCGGGGAUAACAGGCUGAUGGUGUUCGAGAGUUCAUAUCGACGACACCGUUUGGCACCUCGAUGUCGACUCAUCACAUCCUGGGGCUGGAGAAGGUCCCAAGGGUUCGGCUGUUCGCCGAUUAAAGUGUUACGUGAGUUGGGUUUAGAACGUCGUGAGACAGUUCGGUUUCUAUCUGCCGUGGGUGAAGGAAAUUUGAGAAGAUCUGACUCUAGUACGAGAGGACCGAGAUGUAUAUACCUCUGGUGUACCAGCUGUUAUGCCAAUAGCAUCGCUGGGUAGCUAUGUAUAGAUGGGAUAAUUGCUGAAAGCAUAUAAGCAAGAAACCCUCUUCAAAAAAAUUUCCCAAUUAAGGCCGUGGGAGACUACCACGUUGAUAGGCUAAGUGUAGAAGCAUGGUAACAUGUGAAGCUAACUGGUACUAAUAGCCUGAUUGAUUUAUUUGCUUUC